GGUCCUACGGGGCGCAGCAGUGGGGGAUAUUGCACAAUGGGGGAAACCCUGAUGCAGCGACGCCGCGUGAGUGAAGAAGCAUUUCGGUGUGUAAAGCUCUAUCAGCAGGGAAGAAGAAAUGACGGUACCUGACUAAGAAGCCCCGGCUAACUACGUGCCAGCAGCCGCGGUAAUACGUAGGGGGCAAGCGUUAUCCGGAUUUACUGGGUGUAAAGGGAGCGUAGGUGGCAGGGCAAGUCAGAUGUGAAAACCCGGGGCUCAACCCCGGGAGUGC
This 274-nucleotide ribosomal RNA is filed under the name uncultured bacterium. Its description in RNAcentral is "partial 16S ribosomal RNA". It matches the Rfam family "Bacterial small subunit ribosomal RNA", at positions 335 to 624 of the family's 1533-position model. The record is from RNAcentral.